Molecule: ribosomal RNA, 359 nt
Filed under: Aulosira laxa K114
Lineage: Bacteria; Bacillati; Cyanobacteriota; Cyanophyceae; Nostocales; Fortieaceae
Description: bacterial SSU rRNA
Rfam family: Bacterial small subunit ribosomal RNA
Source: RNAcentral
CAAUGGGCGAAAGCCUGACAGCAAUACCGCGUGAGGGAGGAAGGCUCUUGGGUUGUAAACCUCUUUUCUCAGGGAAGAAAAAAAUGACGGUACCUGAGGAAUAAGCAUCGGCUAACUCCGUGCCAGCAGCCGCGGUAAUACGGAGGAUGCAAGCGUUAUCCGGAAUGAUUGGGCGUAAAGCGUCCGCAGGUGGCGAUGAAAGUCUGCUGUUACAGAGUGAGGCUCAACCUCAUAAAAGCAGUGGAAACUACAUAGCUAGAGUACGUUCGGGGCAGAGGGAAUUCCUGGUGUAGCGGUGAAAUGCAUAGAGAUCAGGAAGAACACCGGUGGCGAAAGCGCUCUGCUAGGCCUGUACUGAU